RNAcentral lists this ribosomal RNA (274 nucleotides) under uncultured bacterium. RNAcentral describes it as "partial 16S ribosomal RNA". It matches the Rfam family "Bacterial small subunit ribosomal RNA", at positions 523 to 796 of the family's 1533-position model. The record is from RNAcentral.
AUCCGGAAGGUGCAAACGUUGUUCGGUGUUAUUGGGCAUAAAGGGCACGUAGGUGGCUGAGUAUGUCAGGGGUGAAAUCCUCGAGCUCAACUCGGGAACUGCCCCUGAAACUGCUCGGCUUGAGGGCCGGAGGGGGAAGUGGAACGAUGCAUGUAACGGUGAAAUGUGUAGAUAUGCAUCGGAAGGCCGGUGGCGAAGGCGGCUUCCUGGACGGUUCCUGACACUGAAGUGCGAAAGCGUGGGGAGCGAACGGGAUUAGAAACCCCAGUAGUCC